RNAcentral lists this unclassified non-coding RNA (21 nucleotides) under Dictyostelium discoideum. Lineage: Eukaryota; Evosea; Eumycetozoa; Dictyosteliales; Dictyosteliaceae. The record is from RNAcentral.
AUGUCCUUCGCUCGUACAACA